Molecule: ribosomal RNA, 465 nt
Filed under: uncultured bacterium
Lineage: Bacteria
Description: partial 16S ribosomal RNA
Rfam family: Bacterial small subunit ribosomal RNA
Source: RNAcentral
GACGAACGCUGGCGGCGUGCUUAACACAUGCAAGUCGAACGGAAAGGCCCCUUUGGGGGUCCUCGAGUGGCGAACGGGUGAGUAACACGUGAGUAACCUGCCCUUGACUUCGGGAUAACUUCAGGAAACUGGGGCUAAUACCGGAUAGGAAUCCUUGCUGCAUGGUGGGGGUUGGAAAGCUUCGGCGGUUUUGGAUGGACUCGCGGCUUAUCAGCUUGUUGGUGGGGUAGUGGCUUACCAAGGCUUUGACGGGUAGCCGGCCUGAGAGGGCGACCGGCCACAUUGGGACUGAGAUACGGCCCAGACUCCUACGGGAGGCAGAAGUGGGGAAUAUUGCACAAUGGGCGGAAGCCUGAUGCAGCAACGCCGCGGGCGGGAUGACGGCCUUCGGGUUGUAAACCGCUUUCAGCAGGGGCGAAGCUUGUGGUGACGGUACCUGCAGAAGAAGCACCGGCUAACUACGUG